CCUACGGGCGGCAGCAGUGAGGAAUAUUGGUCAAUGGACGAGAGUCUGAACCAGCCAAGUAGCGUGAAGGAUGACUGCCCUAUGGGUUGUAAACUUCUUUUAUAUGGGAAUAAAAUGUUCCACGUGUGGGAUUUUGUAUGUACCAUAUGAAUAAGGAUCGGCUAACUCCGUGCCAGCAGCCGCGGUAAUACGGAGGAUCCGAGCGUUAUCCGGAUUUAUUGGGUUUAAAGGGAGCGUAGGUGGAUUGUUAAGUCAGUUGUGAAAGUUUGCGGCUCAACCGUAAAAUUGCAGUUGAAACUGGCAGUCUUGAGUACAGUAGAGGUGGGCGGAAUUCGUGGUGUAGCGGUGAAAUGCUUAGAUAUCACGAAGAACUCCGAUUGCGAAGGCAGUUCACUGGACUGCAACUGACACUGAGGCUCAAAAGUGUGGGUAUCAAACAGGAUUAGAUACCCGUGUAGUC
RNAcentral lists this ribosomal RNA (460 nucleotides) under uncultured bacterium. Its description in RNAcentral is "partial 16S ribosomal RNA". It matches the Rfam family "Bacterial small subunit ribosomal RNA", at positions 338 to 795 of the family's 1533-position model. The record is from RNAcentral.